This 258-nucleotide ribosomal RNA is filed under the name uncultured bacterium. RNAcentral's name for it is "partial 16S ribosomal RNA". It matches the Rfam family "Bacterial small subunit ribosomal RNA", at positions 335 to 609 of the family's 1533-position model. The record is from RNAcentral.
GGCCUACGGGGCGCAGCAGUGGGGAAUAUUGGGCAAUGGGCGCAAGCCUGACCCAGCAACGCCGCGUGAAGGAAGAAGGCUUUUGGGUUGUAAACUUCUUUUGACAGGGAAGAGCAGAAGACGGUACCCAAGGAAUAAGCCACGGCUAACUACGUGCCAGCAGCCGCGGUAAUACGUAGGUGGCAAGCGUUAUCCGGAUUUAUUGGGUGUAAAGGGCGUGUAGGCGGGAUUGCAAGUCAGAUGUGAAAACCACGGGCU